RNAcentral lists this ribosomal RNA (228 nucleotides) under Paenibacillus macerans. RNAcentral describes it as "partial 23S ribosomal RNA". It matches the Rfam family "Bacterial large subunit ribosomal RNA", at positions 1435 to 1658 of the family's 2925-position model. The record is from RNAcentral. Lineage: Bacteria; Bacillati; Bacillota; Bacilli; Caryophanales; Paenibacillaceae.
AUUCCUGUACCACCGUAAUCCGCUAUGAGCGAUGGGGUGACGCAGGAGGGUAGUGACGCGGGGCGAUGGAAUGCCCCGUCCAAGCAGUGAGGCUGGUGUGUAGGCAAAUCCGCACACCGUAAGGCUGGGCUGUGAUGGGGAGGGAAAAUUUACAGUACCGAAGGUCAUGAUCUCACACUGCCGAGAAAAGCCUCUAGCCAGGAGAAGGUGCCCGUACCGCAAACCGAC